CCGGGGGCAGGAGGUUCGACCCGAGCGAAGCGAGAGAACGUUGCGUCAGCAACGGCCCGCAGGGCGAGCCACGCAGUGGCGAGUCAUCCUCUAUCACCGACCA
Molecule: small RNA, 103 nt
Filed under: Salmonella enterica
Lineage: Bacteria; Pseudomonadati; Pseudomonadota; Gammaproteobacteria; Enterobacterales; Enterobacteriaceae
Description: partial RtT sRNA
Rfam family: RtT RNA
About the family: This family represents a bacterial cis-regulatory element known as RtT RNA. The exact function of RtT is unknown although it is thought that it may be involved in changing the cellular response in relation to amino acid starvation.
Source: RNAcentral